CCGAGCACAUGGGCCCGCGGGCCGGGCGGACUCCGGGCGGCCGGGACCCGGAGUAUCAGCGAGGGGCCGCGAGCGAGGGUGGGCCCCGGCACGCGCCCGGAACCCCCUGAGUGGAUUUCCACGCGGAAAGGCUGUUGGCGGCCCCGGUGACCUGCGGAGACACGGCUGAAUCCACCUUCCA
Molecule: non-coding RNA, 181 nt
Organism: Tursiops truncatus (common bottlenose dolphin)
Lineage: Eukaryota; Metazoa; Chordata; Mammalia; Artiodactyla; Delphinidae
Source: Rfam